GAUGAACGCUGGCGGCGUGCCUAAUACAUGCAAGUCGAGCGAACAGACGAGGAGCUUGCUCCUCUGACGUUAGCGGCGGACGGGUGAGUAACACGUGGAUAACCUACCUAUAAGACUGGGAUAACUUCGGGAAACCGGAGCUAAUACCGGAUAAUAUAUUGAACCGCAUGGUUCAAUAGUGAAAGACGGUUUUGCUGUCACUUAUAGAUGGAUCCGCGCCGCAUUAGCUAGUUGGUAAGGUAACGGCUUACCAAGGCAACGAUGCGUAGCCGACCUGAGAGGGUGAUCGGCCACACUGGAACUGAGACACGGUCCAGACUCCUACGGGAGGCAGCAGUAGGGAAUCUUCCGCAAUGGGCGAAAGCCUGACGGAGCAACGCCGCGUGAGUGAUGAAGGUCUUCGGAGCGUAAAACUCUGUUAUUAGUGAAGAACAAAUGUGUAAGUAACUAUGCACGUCUUGACGGUACCUAAUCAGAAAGCCACGGCUAACUACGUG
Molecule: ribosomal RNA, 497 nt
Filed under: uncultured bacterium
Lineage: Bacteria
Description: partial 16S ribosomal RNA
Rfam family: Bacterial small subunit ribosomal RNA
Source: RNAcentral